RNAcentral lists this ribosomal RNA (2904 nucleotides) under Escherichia coli. RNAcentral describes it as "bacterial LSU rRNA". It matches the Rfam family "Bacterial large subunit ribosomal RNA". The record is from RNAcentral. Lineage: Bacteria; Pseudomonadati; Pseudomonadota; Gammaproteobacteria; Enterobacterales; Enterobacteriaceae.
UUAAGCGACUAAGCGUACACGGUGGAUGCCCUGGCAGUCAGAGGCGAUGAAGGACGUGCUAAUCUGCGAUAAGCGUCGGUAAGGUGAUAUGAACCGUUAUAACCGGCGAUUUCCGAAUGGGGAAACCCAGUGUGAUUCGUCACACUAUCAUUAACUGAAUCCAUAGGUUAAUGAGGCGAACCGGGGGAACUGAAACAUCUAAGUACCCCGAGGAAAAGAAAUCAACCGAGAUUCCCCCAGUAGCGGCGAGCGAACGGGGAGCAGCCCAGAGCCUGAAUCAGUGUGUGUGUUAGUGGAAGCGUCUGGAAAGGCGCGCGAUACAGGGUGACAGCCCCGUACACAAAAAUGCACAUGCUGUGAGCUCGAUGAGUAGGGCGGGACACGUGGUAUCCUGUCUGAAUAUGGGGGGACCAUCCUCCAAGGCUAAAUACUCCUGACUGACCGAUAGUGAACCAGUACCGUGAGGGAAAGGCGAAAAGAACCCCGGCGAGGGGAGUGAAAAAGAACCUGAAACCGUGUACGUACAAGCAGUGGGAGCACAGAGCAAUCUGUGUGACUGCGUACCUUUUGUAUAAUGGGUCAGCGACUUAUAUUCUGUAGCAAGGUUAACCGAAUAGGGGAGCCGAAGGGAAACCGAGUCUUAACUGGGCGUUAAGUUGCAGGGUAUAGACCCGAAACCCGGUGAUCUAGCCAUGGGCAGGUUGAAGGUUGGGUAACACUAACUGGAGGACCGAACCGACUAAUGUUGAAAAAUUAGCGGAUGACUUGUGGCUGGGGGUGAAAGGCCAAUCAAACCGGGAGAUAGCUGGUUCUCCCCGAAAGCUAUUUAGGUAGCGCCUCGUGAAUUCAUCUCCGGGGGUAGAGCACUGUUUCGGCAAGGGGGUCAUCCCGACUUACCAACCCGAUGCAAACUGCGAAUACCGGAGAAUGUUAUCACGGGAGACACACGGCGGGUGCUAACGUCCGUCGUGAAGAGGGAAACAACCCAGACCGCCAGCUAAGGUCCCAAAGUCAUGGUUAAGUGGGAAACGAUGUGGGAAGGCCCAGACAGCCAGGAUGUUGGCUUAGAAGCAGCCAUCAUUUAAAGAAAGCGUAAUAGCUCACUGGUCGAGUCGGCCUGCGCGGAAGAUGUAACGGGGCUAAACCAUGCACCGAAGCUGCGGCAGCGACGCUUAUGCGUUGUUGGGUAGGGGAGCGUUCUGUAAGCCUGUGAAGGUGUGCUGUGAGGCAUGCUGGAGGUAUCAGAAGUGCGAAUGCUGACAUAAGUAACGAUAAAGCGGGUGAAAAGCCCGCUCGCCGGAAGACCAAGGGUUCCUGUCCAACGUUAAUCGGGGCAGGGUGAGUCGACCCCUAAGGCGAGGCCGAAAGGCGUAGUCGAUGGGAAACAGGUUAAUAUUCCUGUACUUGGUGUUACUGCGAAGGGGGGACGGAGAAGGCUAUGUUGGCCGGGCGACGGUUGUCCCGGUUUAAGCGUGUAGGCUGGUUUUCCAGGCAAAUCCGGAAAAUCAAGGCUGAGGCGUGAUGACGAGGCACUACGGUGCUGAAGCAACAAAUGCCCUGCUUCCAGGAAAAGCCUCUAAGCAUCAGGUAACAUCAAAUCGUACCCCAAACCGACACAGGUGGUCAGGUAGAGAAUACCAAGGCGCUUGAGAGAACUCGGGUGAAGGAACUAGGCAAAAUGGUGCCGUAACUUCGGGAGAAGGCACGCUGAUAUGUAGGUGAAGCGACUUGCUCGUGGAGCUGAAAUCAGUCGAAGAUACCAGCUGGCUGCAACUGUUUAUUAAAAACACAGCACUGUGCAAACACGAAAGUGGACGUAUACGGUGUGACGCCUGCCCGGUGCCGGAAGGUUAAUUGAUGGGGUCAGCGCAAGCGAAGCUCUUGAUCGAAGCCCCGGUAAACGGCGGCCGUAACUAUAACGGUCCUAAGGUAGCGAAAUUCCUUGUCGGGUAAGUUCCGACCUGCACGAAUGGCGUAAUGAUGGCCAGGCUGUCUCCACCCGAGACUCAGUGAAAUUGAACUCGCUGUGAAGAUGCAGUGUACCCGCGGCAAGACGGAAAGACCCCGUGAACCUUUACUAUAGCUUGACACUGAACAUUGAGCCUUGAUGUGUAGGAUAGGUGGGAGGCUUUGAAGUGUGGACGCCAGUCUGCAUGGAGCCGACCUUGAAAUACCACCCUUUAAUGUUUGAUGUUCUAACGUUGACCCGUAAUCCGGGUUGCGGACAGUGUCUGGUGGGUAGUUUGACUGGGGCGGUCUCCUCCUAAAGAGUAACGGAGGAGCACGAAGGUUGGCUAAUCCUGGUCGGACAUCAGGAGGUUAGUGCAAUGGCAUAAGCCAGCUUGACUGCGAGCGUGACGGCGCGAGCAGGUGCGAAAGCAGGUCAUAGUGAUCCGGUGGUUCUGAAUGGAAGGGCCAUCGCUCAACGGAUAAAAGGUACUCCGGGGAUAACAGGCUGAUACCGCCCAAGAGUUCAUAUCGACGGCGGUGUUUGGCACCUCGAUGUCGGCUCAUCACAUCCUGGGGCUGAAGUAGGUCCCAAGGGUAUGGCUGUUCGCCAUUUAAAGUGGUACGCGAGCUGGGUUUAGAACGUCGUGAGACAGUUCGGUCCCUAUCUGCCGUGGGCGCUGGAGAACUGAGGGGGGCUGCUCCUAGUACGAGAGGACCGGAGUGGACGCAUCACUGGUGUUCGGGUUGUCAUGCCAAUGGCACUGCCCGGUAGCUAAAUGCGGAAGAGAUAAGUGCUGAAAGCAUCUAAGCACGAAACUUGCCCCGAGAUGAGUUCUCCCUGACUCCUUGAGAGUCCUGAAGGAACGUUGAAGACGACGACGUUGAUAGGCCGGGUGUGUAAGCGCAGCGAUGCGUUGAGCUAACCGGUACUAAUGAACCGUGAGGCUUAACCUU